GCCCCCUCCCUCCGCCGGGCUGCCGGGUCACCCGCUCCGUGUGAGAAAUUAAACGCUGUUAAUCCGUUAGCCUCAUCUUCCCCGUUUACGAGAGAGCGAGGAAGACUUGCUAAUUAAUGUGCAUACGAGGGAAUGAGCUCUGAAGGAAGGAAAAAAUACCCCGUUGCACCUGCUCCGCUGAGACUUGGCAUCUGAAUCUGGAGGAGAGCUAUAAAUCAUGUAAAGUGUUCGCGGUGGAGUCGGCUUCUGAGAGCUGUAGGAUUAUGUAUCCAAAUGCUGAAUUUAUAUUUCCCACUAGGAAAAGACUGAAACUCAGAUGCUUCAGAAACUUGCUGUGUGUUUACCACGGGUUCUGCCAGCCAGCUCAAGAGGGGACUUACCUAUUCUUUCGUUAGCCAAGCAUUACAUUAUCUUGAACUAAUUAUUCCUCUACACAUGGCCUUCCUACUGGUGUCAGCUUAUCUUCUGCUGACUCAUGCUCAGGGUGCUCCUGUUGAGAAUGGGGCACUGUUGGAAACACUGAAGUCACAAGUAGGAUUAUUCAGCAAUAAAAGUGAACACUAUUCAGCACAGGUGAGACCUCCUGGCACAAGCCGACAAAUACCUCAGACAAUCAUCAUAGGAGUUCGUAAAGGAGGGACAAGGGCUUUGCUGGAAAUGUUGGAUAUUCAUCCUAAUAUUGUGGUGGCAGCUACAGAAGUCCACUUCUUUGACUGGGAUGAAAAUUAUGUGAAAGGAAUAGACUGGUAUAGAAGUCUAAUGCCAUUUUCUUAUGGAAAUCAAAUUACAAUUGAGAAAACACCGGGCUAUUUUACAUCACCACAGGCUCCAGGAAGAAUUCAUGACAUGAAUAGCUCCAUUAAACUGCUGCUCAUUCUGAGAGAUCCCACUGAGAGAGUUAUAUCUGACUAUACCCAAGUAUAUUACAACAGAGUAGAAAGUCACAAGCCUGUUCAGCUUUUUGAAGAUAUUGUUAUUAAGAAUGGAGCACUUAAUACCAAAUACAAAGCUAUUCAGAGAAGUCUAUAUGAUGUUCAUAUGGAAAAGUGGCUUAAGCAUUUCAGUUUGGAUCAAAUUCACAUAGUGGAUGGCAAUACUUUAAUCAAGGACCCUCUUCCUGAGUUACAGAAAGUUGAAAGAUUUCUAAAUCUUCCUUCCCAAAUUAUGUCUUCUAAUUUUUAUUUUAACCAAACCAAGGGAUUCUACUGCAUUAGAAGUGACGGAAGGGAGAGAUGUUUACAUGAAUCCAAAGGGCGUCCCCAUCCUCUUGUUAACAGCACUGUUUUAGAGCAACUGUAUUCUUACUUCAGAGAGCACAAUGCAAAAUUUUACAGGAUGGUUAAUCAUUCCUUUGACUGGCAUUAAUGCAUUUGGAAUCAGUGUUUCUUUCAAAGGGCCUGCAACAAACUGUUUCAAACAUAUCUUUCUAAAUUGCAGAGAUUCAUACUAUGAGAACUUAGCAUACUGGUAGUGUGGUUCAUGGGAAUAACAUACCUGUUCAUUCAUUGAAAUGGUACCCUUUAGGUUGGGGAAAAAGAAGUUUCACAUUUGUAUGAUUACUGUGAAUCAUAUUCUGAUCUUCAUCUUCUCAUCAUGCAAAUACAUUGACUUCAGCAGACGUCUUUCAGAUAUGCAUCUGUUACAAAAUUUGUGCUGUUUUGGAAAAGUGACUGCUUCUAACCAUGUAAAAAUGUAAAUAUUUGAAGUGGUAUUAUUCUACCUGUUCUGUAUUUUUUGUUCUUAGUAUUUUUUAUAUCACGCACAAUGAUAGAGGUGUUGAUUUCUAGAAUUUUUCAUACAGUAAGUUAAAUUGUAUGUUAAAACAGGUGCAUACAUAGUGGCUCCAAUAAGUAAUUCAUCUACUGCUAAUGCUGAAUUAAUUAAUAAUAAAAGGAAUCUAUUUCAUCUGUGGUUUUGAAUAGGUGAAAUAGAAGCUCCCUGUCUGUAGAUCAUUAGUAUUAAACUACACUCUUACUAUCUUGGGUUUGCAAAAAAUAAAAAUAAAAAUAAAAAUAUCUCCAAACAAAGUAAGAAUAUGAACUGUCUGAAGUUUAAGGUGAGAGUUUUGAAUGUAAAGAAAUUAAAAUAUCAACCUCAAUUUGCACUGUUAUUCUGUACACUAAAGAAAAAAAAACAAACCAACACACACACAAAAAAAAAGGCCAACAACAAAAAUGCAAAAACAUUAUUCAUAUUAGGAACCGUACAAAUAUUUGAUUAUAAAAAUUAUGUUGCUUUGCUCUUGAAUAGAAAAGCUUCUCAUUAGUACUACCACAUGGAUCAUGUUUGUAUUCUGUUGUUAUUCUGUUGUUUUGGCUUUAGUUUACACAUCUCCAUUGGCACACCAAUUCUUGAUAAGGAAAAAAAAAAUUUGCUUGCCCUCUAAAGCAUGGGGUAUUUUUAUUUUGUCAUUUCUAAUGCAGACCAUGGGAUGUUCUCACAGUUAAAAUAACGUCUUGUUAUGCUGUAUAUCUCAAGACAUGGUGUUCCAUAUGCUAGGUAUGAUAUACUUGGAUUAUAUAUAAAAAACAUCUAUCUAUACUCCUGCAUUAGGAAUUUUUUACUUGGUUUUUUUGAUGGUAUUGUACUCAUCUGUUCUCCAUUUUCAUGUAAACAUGUUAUUAUAUCUCAAUACCAAAGAUCAACUUCAAAAUGUUAAAUAUGGUGCCAGAUAGAAAUACAGAUGCAGAUGUGCUUGUUUGACAUUGUACCUUGCAAUUCAGAAACUCUGGUGCACCCCUUUAGUAGAAGCAUUCAUUAGGUGCAUUCCUCUUCAAGCUUCUCAGAACACUGGUGAGUUAUGGUUGUGUGGGCCCACUCUGAUCCUCGCAGCAUCAAACUCCACUCAACACUGCUGUGGAUCCUGGAUCUGUGUCCUUCUGUCUAAGCCACUGUUCAGCCUAUAGGAGCACAUGUUCCUAAUAUGAGAUUCAGUCUUCCACUUCACAGGCUAAAAGGCAUCAAGUUUUUCUCUUUCUUCUCUGAAGUUUACAGCAGAUCUUUAGACGAGUUGAAUGCAGGAACACCAGUUGGCAGAAGCUAUAUGCAUCUUUGAAAAUGCAGGUCCCUUUCUGGAAUUUACAUUUCAAGGACAGCUGAUCUGUAUAGAUUAGUGAUGCAUAUAUCUACUUGAUUUGUUAUCACUCUUCAUUCCUGCUCAGCAUUUCUGGGAAGGACAGAGUUGAUGGAAUUAAUUCAAUGAUCACUUUAGAGUUUACUAAUACCAGAAGAAAUAUAUUAUGCAUAUUAUAAUUUGAGUGAGGGGUUGUUUGGUUUGGUUUUACAUAAAUCAAGAUACUCAUCUAAAGUUUUGUUUUGGUGAAUGGUCUAAAACCUCAACCUCUGCAUUACAGAAUUCAAUACAUAUAUCAGACUAUAACAUUACAAACUGUUUCAAUCAGUUUCUCAUUUUGUGGUCUGAGAAAUUUAUCUAUCUCAUGCAGUCCUGCCUGACCACCUCCAUUCUUACUGUCUUCAAGAAAACCCUCCUUUCCUCCUCCUCAGGAGGGAGAUCAGAUCAACUUAAAGCAGAUCCACUGAGCCAUAGUUCAGUAAUGCUGAAAUAAAAAGCACUCAAUUUUUGGCACUUGGAAUUGAAAAGUAGUCAAAUUUUGGAAAGAACUGGAGGCUCACAAUCAGUUCAAAGAUGUUAUUAAUUAACAAGUCAGAUCUCAAUUUAAGAAAUUACAAAUAUCUCAUAUAAAUUUCCACAAUUGAUUGCAAACUAUAACCUAUUCUUUUCUUAAAUUGGUCAUUGACAGGCUUUCAUCUCAUUACCUGAUUCUCAAGAGGUGUUUGCAGGAAUAAAUUUCAUGUGGAAAGGUUGCUUAAAAAGAUUAUGCAGUUGUUUCAAAGGGUUUUGGGAGCAUCUGAAACAGAUGAUACAGUCACAUGUGUAAGACUACUGCAGAAUUUACGAUGAUCUGAGCAGCUCUUUGAUGCUGUUUUGCAUUCCACAAGUAUUAAGCUUUCACUUUAAAAACAAUUCCUUUCCUUUUUCAGUUAAAAUGCUUUAGUUAUCACUAAUAUCACUAAGAAUUAACAAUAUCAAACAACUGCAGCUAUAACUGUAUCAGUUUAGCCUUUGCCACAGUAAGAAGCUCACUCACACUUAAUACUUAGAUAAGUCUAAUAUUAGUAUUUUUUUAUACAGACUACCUAUAUUACCUAUAAUACAUAAAGGAAAAGUGUUGAGAAGCUCAAGUGGUAGGGGUUUGCACAAAAGAGCUCUUAGCACUUAACUAAUGGGAAGAAAACAAAAAGGUUCCUCUACUGCACUCACCCCCAUUAUUUUACCACCAAGAGGGCUGGAUUUUUUCGUUGUGUCCUCUGUAUCUAACUGCUCAGAGGCCUUGGGCUGGCUUCUGGUCUUUUUUUUCAUAGUUUAGCCUUGAUAGAGCAUUUACAGUUCCUGUUAAAGAAUAUAUAUGAAAGCAGAGACAUUUUUGGAAUAUCCAUAGUUCUCCAUGGUGGAGAACUUUACAGAGGGUGUACGCUUAGUGCGCUUCAUUGUAUGCUGCUACACAACAUCAACUCCUUCGCUAUCUUUUUGAUACAAAGCCGAUAGAUAAUCUUAUAAAAUGCAUUGAAGAAAGAGUAGAUUGACUAUUGUAGGGAACUGCAUCUGCAUACAGAGUUUUCAGUCUUCAUGCACAUUUCAAGAGCGUAGCAGAAAAAAAUUUUAAAAUUGGGUUGUUUCCAGCAAGUUUGACUGCUUAUUCCCUUUGCCAAUUUAGAUGCUGCUUUCGUGAGUUGGACAAAAAUUUUGAUAUUGUAAUAAUCCCUAUAAUUUCUUGUGUGGUACAAAAAAAAAAAAAGUUAUUACUUUGUGGGAUCACAGUUAAAAAAAAAAAAGAAACACCAAUAUCUUGAUUCAUAGAUUCAUAGUAAGAGUAGCACAAUAACAAUAUCACAAUAAUAUUUCCUUGCAUAGAAAGAAACAAAUUAUUUAAGUAAAGAUUAUACUCUUGUAAACUAUUUUUUUCUAUACUUGUGGAUUUGAUCCUUCAUUUCCUUCAAAAGUUUGAAAUUUAUUGUAGAAAUGAACAAACACAUUGAAAUCAAAAUUGGUAAUAAUUUGCCUAGCAACAGUAAUCAUUGCCAGUAGUUAAUGGCCAAUAUUUAGUUACCAGCCAAAUAACUUCGCUUCAAUUAUUUCAAGUUUCAAUGUGACUUGUUAAACUGUUUUGCAACUUUAUAAAACAAAUUUAAAAGUUAGAGCUAACAGUGGAUAAAAAGACUCUGUAGUAUCAUUCUGUGAUUGUAGACGAAUUGUCAUGUCUUUAAGGUUAAUUAACAGUGAAAUAAGCUUGCCUCAAUUCCUGAAAAAUUUUGGAAUGCAAGAUGCUAACAGAACUGCAAGGUAUAAAUUACUAGUUGAAGUUGAAUCCACUACUUAGGGAAAAUACAACAGAUUAAAACACACUGACAUAAAUCAUACUUUGCUGAUAAAAUAGAUAUGAUGUAAAAUGUACAGUAUCUCGUGUAUUAGCCUGUGUAACAAGUACUAUGAAGUCUAUUUUCUGAUGCAGAAUGGUCUUAAACUUUUACGUUGUGUGUUCUUUUAGUUCCAUUACAAAAACCUCUCAGUAAGUGUUUAAAGAAAAACAUCUUUAUGUAAAGUCUUUACCAGUGCAUUUUUUUCUCUCAAAGGGCAUUUCUCUGGUUUUGUAUUGUUUUCUCUGAGAUAAAAAGGUGGUUUGAGUCACACUGCAAUAAAUGUAGAGUUAUCAUACCAGAAUUAAAAAUAUUACUUCUGUUUAUUACAGUUCUCAGUGAAGAACAUUUUUAUGUAGGGACAUAAUAGUUUAACAAUCUCCGUAUUUUCUCUCUUUUCAUUAGGUAAUGUGACUAAGUUUUAGUUUUUCUUAUUUGGAAGGAUGUUAUUCUAAACUCUUUCACUGUUACCCAAAAGCACAGACUUGCAGAUUUAAGUUAAAUGGCAGUAAUAAAAGGGAAGGAUAGAUACUUAAGAAUCCAUUCCCUUUGCCACUCAGACUGGCCAAGAUUUUCUUAUUUUUUAACUCUUUUGAUGUGAACAUUUUGAUCCAUUAUAAACUUUCCAUUAUGAUACAUCUAGGAUGUAUCAGCCGAACUUGCAAUAGGAGAAAAUAAGGUGAGUGCAACUAAAUGCAAUCAAACCUGAGCUGAAAGGCCUUUUCUGCUAAAUAUUUGUUGACAUAGUAUGGCACAGUUACAAAUUAAAAUUAUGGUUGGCCUGAUAAAACAAUGCAUAGGACUAAGUCACAUGCUACUCCCUGGAUUUAUCUAGGUAUUCUACAUACCUGAAUUAACUUUACAAUCAUUAGGCUAUUAGGGACAUAUGUGAAUAUACAUUUUUAAAACCCUGUAUUUCACUUUACUAGGGAAUAUUACAAUUCUGUAGGAAAGGUUGAAUAUAUUAUGUCUGUCCCUGUGUGAAAUGCUUCUGUACUACCAAGGCAAAUUGGAUGGGAAGUAACAAUUCUCUAAACUAAGUUUUGGGCAUUUUAAAAUUCUGUAGGAAAAACUUGCAGCACUAGAUGUAGCAGGUUUGGUUUUGAUUUGACAAGGACUGCCAGCCUAGAAAAAUGCUGUGCAACUGUCAUGAGAAGAUUGAAGAUACCUUUUCUGUACUCUGCCAAGACACAAAUCUACAACUCAAGACAAGUGACACAGAUGGAAAACUGUAAACUACAUGGGGUGCAUUGCUGCCUUGAGUGAAGAAGGAUUAAAGGCUCAUAAACAACAUAUGCUAUAGUUACACAAGCACGCACCAUACACAGCUUGCACAAUAGACGCAGCCUAAACCGAAACCAAGUAGCAUCUACAGCUGUGCACUGAAGUGAUCCUGUUGAAGGCGUACUGAAC
Molecule: RNA transcript, 6849 nt
Organism: Strigops habroptila (Kakapo)
Lineage: Eukaryota; Metazoa; Chordata; Aves; Psittaciformes; Psittacidae
Gene name: heparan sulfate glucosamine 3-O-sulfotransferase 1-like
Exons: 3
Source: RefSeq, a predicted model, not a curated record